Molecule: transfer RNA, 56 nt
Filed under: Aelurostrongylus abstrusus (cat lungworm)
Lineage: Eukaryota; Metazoa; Nematoda; Chromadorea; Rhabditida; Metastrongylidae
Description: tRNA-Ser
Source: RNAcentral
UGAACUAUUUUUUCUGUUUUGAAAACAGAUUUUAGAUUUUUUUUCUGUAGUUUAUA